Molecule: long non-coding RNA, 5397 nt
Filed under: Durio zibethinus
Lineage: Eukaryota; Viridiplantae; Streptophyta; Magnoliopsida; Malvales; Malvaceae
Description: long non-coding RNA (DZIB_LNC000589)
Source: RNAcentral
GCGAUCAACGUGGUCAUGGUAUUUGAUACACAUAAUAUAACUUGUAAGCAUACAAAAUUACACGCAGAUUCGCAUAAAACAGGGGGUUUUAUUUUAUUUUAAUUUUAUCAUGUUUUUCAGAUAACAUGAAAGAAAAAGACCCAAAGAUAUAAAUUUAUUUUUCAUCAGUCAUAAGCACCCCCCCAUACUUAGGCUGAAAGUUGAUCCAUCAGCACUUAAACGGAACCGCUGAAACCUUUAUUGUAAGCAUAUUCAAUAAGGGAAUCCAACUCAUCAUUGGUGCAGUCGAUCAAAUUGUCCUUAUUUUUAUCAGCAACGUCCAUGGCCUCUUCAACUUGCUUGUUUGGCGUGAGUGCACCUAGAUGUUCAAAAGCAUCCUUGAGCUGGUCCCUGGUGAUGCUGCCCUGCUUGGAGUAAGAUCGAAACACUUGUUCCAAUUUAUUUUUCUGAUCCUUGUUAUCCUUUGUGGCUUGCAUUGUGGAUUUUGAGGUGUGUGACCGGGUGAUAUUAGAGAGAAGGCUUGCCUAGCUUGGUUUGGUUUUCUUUUCCAAUGCAAUUUGUUUAUAUAGACCCAAAACUCUGAAUACGAUUCUGUUGAAGUGUUGGGGAAUAAAACAUUUUUUGGUGGUGGGUUUUAAAAAUUGAUUUCCAUCUUUUUUAUCAAUAAAAUUAAUAAAUCAAUCAAUAAAUUUUAUAAUGAAUACUUAAAAAAAUAUUCCAAGAGGAUUGGUACGAAUAAAAAUAUUAACGUUAAUUUCUUCUUUUCUUCUGGCUUCAAAUUAACCACAGAUUGGAAAAAGCUAAAUAGCAGCCUCCACUAUCUUGUGUCCAUUUUCUAUUGUUUCAUUUGUUUUAGCCCUCAAUUUGCAGUUUUUAGGUUUUUCUUUUUUGGUUCCCUGAUUAAAUGAUGCAUUUUGGUCCAUUUGGUUUUAAUGAAUUUUCAGAAUUUGGUAGAUCUCGUGAAAGGAGUUCUAGGAAGUACUUUGAUGAGCAUGCUUGUAAAUUGUGAUAAUUAUUCUGUAUGAAUGUUAAGUUAUAAAUUAUAUUUUAAAUUAGAUAAUUUUGUAAAAAAAUUAUAUUGAUGGAAGCGUGUACAUGGUAUUCAGAUUUUAUCUUUUCAUUUCUUCAUUUUUUUAUAAAGCUUUAUUUUUAAAAAGUUCCUAUUAAAAAUUUUUACAAGAAUAAAUCAUCAUUAGUAAUAUUGCAUGACAAUUCAAUUUUUUUUUCCUUUUUAUUUGUUUUGAUUUUGAUUUUUUCUUUUUUACUUUUUUUCUACUUUAUUUUUUAUUAGAUCAAUUGUUUCAGUGAAAAAAACUUAUCGGAUGUGCCCACAUGGCAUCCUAUUUUAUUUUUUGCCUUUCAUCUUUUUUUAAUUAGAUAAAUAAUACAAUAAAAAAAUCAAUAUAUAAAUUUUAUAAGAUAAAAAUCAAUUGAAGUAUAGACAACAAAAUAUCUUGUAUCCGAUAUGUUUCGAUUCCUAUGGAUCAAUCGUUGUGCUUUUUCUUUUUUUAAUUUAGGAUUGGAAACCUUAAAAAAUAUGAAUUAUUACCAAAUUACAAUAGCAUCAUCUACUAAAAUAAUUUUGUAAGAAACCUUUAUGAAGUAAGAAACGGAAAACUUAUAAUUGAAAAAUGAAUUAAUUAAUAGUAGGAUAGAAAAAUAAUUUAAAAGAUUACAAUUAGUAAUUUCAUAAUCAAAUAAAUGAAUUUUUUUAAAAUUAAUGUAAAACUAUGUUUUCUAAACCAAAGCAAUGCACAAAUGACACCACAAAUUGAUCCUUCAUAUAUGCCUUACAAACAUUUUAAUAAAAUUACAAAAAAAAAAAUUUAACUAUUUCCAAAAAUAAAAAUCUUGAUAUAUAUAAUUUUGCUAAAUAAGGUAUUUAAACUUUUGAUAAAUGAAAUUACCUUCAUAAAUGAAAUCUUACUUGAAAUCCUGCAACUAAUUAACUCAUUUUAAUAGUUUAAUUUUCAUUAAAGUGUAAUUUUCUUUUGCUUGCUAAGACCAACAUCAGUAUGUACUUUAACUUUUUUGUCAAAUAGCUACAGUUUUAUCAAAAUCAUUUUCGUCUAUACUUAUAUAUAUGCACGUACAAAAACAAAUCCAUAAAUGUGUGUAAAAUUAAAAAGAAUUAAGCAUUUAAUACGAUUCAUAUAUAUAUAUAUAUAUAUAUAUAUAUAUACACACACACAUCCACACACUAUCUGUAUUUCUCAUAAAUAGGUUAACUUUCAAGUUUUCUCGAAACCUUUUAUCAUGUUUUUAAGUAAUAAAAAUAUUAGGGUAUGGUUCAUAAUAGUACGAUUAACAUGUUCAUGGUAUUUGAUACACACAAUAUAACUUGCAAGCAUGUAAAAUUACACAGAUUUGAAUAAAAACAGGGGAUUUUAUUUUAUUUUAAUUUUAUCAUGUUUUUGGGAUAACAUGAAGGAAAAAGACCCAAAGCUAUAUAUUUAUUUUUCAUCAGUCAAAAGCAUCCCCCAUACUUAGGCUGAAAGUUGAUCCAUCAGCACUCAAACGGAACUGCUGAAGCCUUUAUUGUAAGCAUAUUCAAUAAGGGAAUCCAACUCAUCAUUGGUGCAGUCGAUCAAAUUGUCCUUAUUUUUAUCAGCAACGUCCAUGGCCUCUUCGACUUGCUUGUUUGGCGUGAGUGCACCUAGAUGUUGAAAAGCAUCCUUGAGCUGGUCCCUGGUGAGGCUGCCCUGCUUAGAGUAAGAUCGAAACACUUGUUCCAAUUUGUUUUUCUGAUCCUUGUUAUCCUUUGUGGCUUGCAUUGUGGAUUUUGAGGUUAUGACAGGGUGAUAUUAGAGAGAAGGCUUGCCUAGCUUGGUUUGGUUUUCUUUUUCCAACGCAAUUCGUUUAUAUAGACCCAAAACUUUGAACACGAUUCUGUUGAAGUGUAGGGGUAUAAAACAUUAUUUGGUGGUGGGUUUUAAAAAUUGAUUUCCGUCCUCUUUAUCAAUAAAAGUAUUAAAUCAAUCAAUAAAUUUUUGUAAUGAACACUUCAAAAAAAAUUCCAUGAGGAUUGGUACGAAUAAAAAUAUUAAUGUUAAUUUCUUCUUUUCUUCUGGCUUCAAAUUAACCACAGAUUGAAAAAUGCUAAAUAGCAGCCUCCACUAUCUUGUGUUUCGUUUAUUUUAGCCCUCAAUUUGCAGUUUAGUUUUAGUUUUUUUUUUUUUUUUUUUUUUUUUGUGGUUGCCUGAUUAAAUGAUACAUUUCGGUUUUAAUGAAUUUCCAGAAUUUGGUAGAUCUCGUGAAAGGAGUUCUAGAAAGCACUUUGAUGAGCAUGCUUGAAAUUUGUGAUAAUUUUUACUAAGAAUUUUUACAAGAAUAGAUCAUCAUUGCUAAUAUUGUGUGACAAUUUAACUUUUUUUUUGUUUUCAUUUUCGUUUUAUUUUUUUUUUAGUUUUUUUUCUCCCCUUUUUUUUUAUUAGAUCAAUUGUUUCAGCAAAAAAAAAAAAAAAAAACCCAAUGGAUAUGCCUAGAGUGUAACGAGCGACGUUGACCGAAUCGUGAGAAGCUUGACUUGAGGCUCGGAGCUCGACCACACCUCCGGGGCUCGAUACUAUGGCUCGAUUGUAUUGCGUGAUCGAAUCGAGCUAUUCGAGCUCGCUCGAUUAAGUUUCGAUUAAUAUGUUCAAAAAAAAGCUCGAUUCGUAUCUCGAUAAGAGUCUUGAUUUAAUUCAUGCUCGAAUUCAAAAAUCGAAUAUUUUAUUAAUUAAUAAUAAUAAAAAAUUUCUAAAUUAUAAGCUCGACUAAGCUCGCGAGCUACUCGAGUUAGAUAUAAGAAUACUCGAAUUCAGCUCGAUCGAUAAGUCGAGCUACUCGAGCUCGAGCUCGACUCGAUAAUAAUCGAACCGAAUUGAACCCGAAUAGCUUAUGAGUACUAAUGUAUCAUUUACACCCUUAGGUAUGCCCAUGUGCCAUCUUAUUUCAUUUUUUGCCUUUCAUUUUUUUUGUAAUUAGAUAAAUAUCACAAUAAAAAAAUCAGUAUAUAAAUUUUUUAAGAUAAAAAUCAAUUGACGUGUAGACAACAAAAUAUCUUGUAUCCUAUAUGUUUCGUUUCCUGUGAAUCCAAUCGGUGUGCUUUUUUUUUUUUUUAAAUUUAGGAUCAGAAGCCUUAAAAAAUAUGAAUUAUUACCCAAUUAUAAUAGCAUCAUCUACUAAAAUAAUUUUGUAAGAAACCUUUAUGAAGUAAGAAACGGAAAACUUAUAAUUGAAAAAUGAAUUAAUUAAUAGUAGGAUAAAAAAAAUUUAAAAGAUUACAAUUAGUAAUUUCAUAAUCAAAUAAAUGAUUUUUUUUAAAUUAUAUGUAUAAGUAUGUUUUCUAAACCAAAGCAAUGCACAAAUGACACCACAAAUUAAUCCUUUUAUAUAUGCCUUGCAAAUAUUUUAAUAAAAUUACAAAAAAAAUUUAACUAUUUCCAAAAAUAAAAUCUUGAUAUUUAUAAUUUUGCUAAACAAGUUAUUUAAACUUUUGAUAAUUAAAGUUAUCUUUAUAAAUGAAAUCCAACUUGAAAUCUUGCAACUAAUUAACCCAUUUUGAUAUUUCAAUUCUCAUCAAGAUAUAACUUUGUUUUGCUGCUGAGACCAACAACAAUAUGUACUUUAAUUUUUUUUGUCAAAUAGCCUCAAUUUUAUAAAAAUUAAUUUUGUCUAUACUUAUAUAUAUGCACGUGCAAAAACAUAUGCAUAAGUGUGUGUAAAAAUAAAAAGAAUUAAGCAUUUAAAUUAGAUUGAUAUAUAUAUAUAUAUAUAUAUAUAUAUAUACACUAUCUGCUUUCCUUCCGAAAAGGUUGACUUUCGAAUUUCUUCAAACCUUUUAUCAUGUUUUUAAGUAAUAACAAUAUUAGUGUAUAGUUUAUAAUAGUAUGAUCAACGUGUUCAUGAUAUUUGAUACACACAAUAUAACUUGCAAGUAUGUAAAACAACACAGAUUUAAAUAAAAAUAGGGGGUUUUAUUUUAUUUUAAUUUUACAUCCUUUCGAGACAACAUGAAAGAAAAAGACCCAAAGAUAUAUAUUUAUUUUUCGUCAGUCAUAAGCAUCCCCCAUACUUAGGCUGAAAGUUGAUCCAUCAGCACUCAAACGGAACCGCUGAAGCCUUUAUUGUAAGCAUAUUCAAUAAGGGAAUCCAACUCAUCAUUGGUGCAGUCGAUCAAAUUGUCCUAAUUUUUAUCAGCAACCUCCAUGGCCUCUUCAACUUGCUUGUUUAGCGUGAGUGCACCUAGUUGUUGAAAAGCCUCCUUGAGCUGAUCCCUGGUGAGGCUGCCCUGCUUAGAGUAAUAACGAAACACUUGUUCCAAUUUGUUUUUAUGAUCCUUGUUAUCCUUUGUGGCUUGCAUUGUGGAUUUCGAGGUUUAUGACUGGGUGAUAUUAGAGAGAAGGCUUGUCUAGC